AUAGCGUAUAUUAAAGUUGUUGCAGUUAAAAAGCUCGUAGUUGAAACUUGGGUCUGGCUAGCGGGUCCGCCUCACCGCGUGCACUUGUCCGGCUGGACCUUUCCUUCUGGAGAACCUCAUGCCCUUCACUGGGUGUGUUGGGGAACCAGGACUUUUACUUUGAAAAAAUUAGAGUGUUCAAAGCAGGCCUUUGCUCGAAUACGUUAGCAUGGAAUAAUAGAAUAGGACGUGCGGUCCUAUUUUGUUGGUUUCUAGGAUCGCCGUAAUGAUUAAUAGGGAUAGUUGGGGGCAUUAGUAUUCAGUUGCUAGAGGUGAAAUUCUUGGAUUUACUGAAGACUAACUACUG
RNAcentral lists this ribosomal RNA (346 nucleotides) under uncultured eukaryote. Its description in RNAcentral is "SSU rRNA". It matches the Rfam family "Eukaryotic small subunit ribosomal RNA", at positions 594 to 945 of the family's 1831-position model. The record is from RNAcentral.